RNA transcript from Brassica napus (rape), 2357 nucleotides. It is a transcript of the gene named U-box domain-containing protein 14, with no coding region annotated. The record is from RefSeq and is a predicted model, not a curated record. Lineage: Eukaryota; Viridiplantae; Streptophyta; Magnoliopsida; Brassicales; Brassicaceae. The transcript has 5 exons.
ACAGUUCAGUUCGCUAAUCUCAAAGUUCAUCUUUCGUCUCCUCUGUUUUCGCUUCUCAAUAAACAAACAAAAAAACUCAUUCUCAAGAAAAAAAGGAAAAAAAAAAAGGAAGUAGAAAAAAUCUUGUUCCGCACUCUUUGCUUGUCUUGUACCAAUGUACGUUAGCUUGAGAACUGAUCAGAGAUGACAAUGGCAAAGUGUCACCGGAACAACAUCGGUUCCCUCAUUCACGACCCUCCUCCCACCACUUCCUCCGGCUACCACUUCCGCCUCUGGAGCACCUUCUCAAGAUCCGCAUUCAGAAGAAAGAUCUUAAACGCCGUUAGCUGCGGCGGCAGCUCGCGUUACCGUCACGAGCUCCGAGAAGAGGAGAAAGAAGAAAGAAGCUACGUCACGGUGACGACGGAGAAGAAGUCAACGGUCAAAGCCAAUACCAUCGCCGCGGCGUUGAAUGGCGCAGCGUUCGAGGAGAAAGGGAAGAAGUCGGAGAAGCUCUGCGAUCUGCUGAAUCUUGCGGAGGUGGAAGCUGACGUGGAGACAAAGAUGAAGGAGGAAGCUCUCGACGCGCUGAAGCGCGUGGUCGGAGAGCUGCAGGCUGCCGCGGCGCGUGGAGAUGAUGAAGGCGGAGAAUGUCGGAAGAAAAUAGCGGCGGCGAGCGAGGUGCGGUUGCUGGCGAAGGAGGAUCCGGAGGCGAGAGUGACGCUAGCGAUGCUCGGCGCGAUUCCGCCGCUGGUUAGCAUGAUCGACGACGAGUCGCGAGACGCAGACGCUCGGAUCGCUUCACUGUACGCUCUGCUCAAUCUAGGCAUCGGUAACGACGCGAACAAAGCAGCUAUUGUAAAAGCAGGUGCGGUUCACAAAAUGCUGAAGCUAAUCGAGUCUCCAAACACACCUGAUCAGUCUAUCGCAGAAGCUGUGGUCGCUAACUUCCUCGGAUUAAGCGCAUUAGACUCAAACAAACCAAUCAUCGGUUCUUCAGGAGCAAUCAUCUUCCUAGUCAAAACUCUUCAGAAUCUAGACGAAACAAGCAGCUCACAAGCUAGAGAAGACGCGUUAAGAGCUCUCUACAACCUCUCAAUCUACCAACCAAACGUUUCAUUCAUCCUCGAAACGGAUUUAAUCACGUAUCUCUUAAACACACUGGGAGAUAUGGAAGUGAGCGAGAGGAUCCUCGCUAUCUUGAGCAAUAUAGUGGCAGUCCCAGAAGGAAGGAAAGCGAUCAGUUCAGUGUGCGACGCGUUUCCGGUUUUGGUUGAUGUACUGAACUGGACCGACUCUCCCGGAUGCCAAGAGAAGGCCACUUACAUACUAAUGUUGAUGGCUCACAAAGGGUAUGGAGAUAGACAAGCAAUGAUCGAGGCGGGAAUCGAAUCGUCGUUGCUAGAGUUGACCCUUUUGGGAAGUGCAUUGUCUCAAAAGAGAGCCUCGAGGAUAUUAGAAUGUCUUAGGGUAGACAAAGGGAAGCAAGUGUUGGAUAGUACCGGAUCAUGCGGAGCCUUAUCCGCACCUAUCUACGGGACCAGAAGCAACGGUUUGGACCAUGAGGAAAGCGACUUGAUGAUGAGCGAAGAGAGGAAAGCAGUGAAGCAGUUAGUGCAACAGAGUUUACAAAGCAACAUGAAGAGAAUAGCAAAGAGAGCUAAUUUGCCACAAGAGUUUGUUCCUUCGGAGCAUUUUAAAUCACUCUCUAUAAGCUCCACUUCAAAGAGCCUUCCCUUUUGAGAAUAGAGCUAAUUUGCCACAAGAGUUUGUUCCUUCGGAGCAUUUUAAAUCACUCUCUAUAAGCUCCACUUCAAAGAGCCUUCCCUUUUGAGAAUUGGCAUCAAUUAUAAAUUCAUGGAAAGUUAGAGGGCAAUGACGUAGUCACUCACAUGCACUUCACCAGUUUAUCAGACAUCAUCGAGACCCCACCCACAUAUCUUGAAUCUUGAAAAAUUACCAAAGUGCCAACCUAAAGUGUCGGUCAUUUUCUUUUUCUAAAGUGUCAUUCUGAAGCAGUUCCACGAAAACAGAAGGAGAGCGUUGCUUCGACAGAUCUAUUCAGCUUCUGAAAACAGCCAAGCAGACACAAUCUAAUUAGCAUAUAGUGUACGGUGUACCCUACGUACGACGUGUCGUUGAAUUUUCCAUGUGGAGUUACUUUUUUGUUUGAGUGAGUGGUUUUGUUAAAAGUAAAAAUACCCACUACGUCUACUAGCCUUAGUGGUAUGUUAUUAUAAAGUUAUGGGCUUUGUUAGCUUUUACAUCUACCAAUUAUAUCAGCUUUUCUAGUCUUAUAAUAUGGUCUGUAUAUAUGUUUUUCUGGAUCGUGAGUAUUUACAUACUUAAAAAGUAAAACAUUCGAGUAUGUUUAUACA